GCAGCAGUGUAGCAUAGUGGUAAGGUGCAGGGCUCAUAACCUAAAGGCUGCUGGUUUGAUUCCAUGCUGGUGCA
This is a non-coding RNA of Megalops atlanticus (tarpon), 74 nucleotides long. Lineage: Eukaryota; Metazoa; Chordata; Actinopteri; Elopiformes; Megalopidae. The record is from the annotation of a GenBank genome assembly.